GAUGAAGAACGCAGCGAAAUGCGAUAAGUAGUGUGAAUUGCAGAAUUCAGUGAAUCAUCGAAUCUUUGAACGCACAUUGCGCCCCUUGGUAUUCCAUGGGGCAUGCCUGUUCGAGCGUCAUUUGUACCUUCAAGCUCUGCUUGGUGUUGGGUGUUUGUCUCGCCUCUGCGUGUAGACUCGCCUCAAAACAAUUGGCAGCCGGCGUAUUGAUUUCGGAGCGCAGUACAUCUCGCGCUUUGCACUCAUAACGACGACGUCCAAAAGUACAUUUUUACACUCUUGACCUCGGAUCAGGUAGGGAUACCCGCUGAACUUAAGCAUAUCAAAGCGGAGGA
Molecule: unclassified non-coding RNA, 335 nt
Filed under: soil metagenome
Description: partial contains 5.8S ribosomal RNA, internal transcribed spacer 2, and large subunit ribosomal RNA
Rfam family: 5.8S ribosomal RNA (bases 1-120)
Source: RNAcentral